This 24-nucleotide non-coding RNA is filed under the name Arabidopsis thaliana (thale cress). The record is from RNAcentral. Lineage: Eukaryota; Viridiplantae; Streptophyta; Magnoliopsida; Brassicales; Brassicaceae.
UUCAUGUAUCUCGUUCUCCACAAA